AUUGAACGCUGGCGGCAUGCUUUACACAUGCAAGUCGAACGGCAGCACGGGGGCAACCCUGGUGGCGAGUGGCGAACGGGUGAGUAAUACAUCGGAACGUGCCCAGUCGUGGGGGAUAACGUAGCGAAAGCUACGCUAAUACCGCAUACGAUCUACGGAUGAAAGCGGGGGAUCGCAAGACCUCGCGCGAUUGGAGCGGCCGAUGGCAGAUUAGGUAGUUGGUGGGGUAAAGGCUCACCAAGCCGACGAUCUGUAGCUGGUCUGAGAGGACGACCAGCCACACUGGGACUGAGACACGGCCCAGACUCCUACGGGAGGCAGCAGUGGGGAAUUUUGGACAAUGGGCGCAAGCCUGAUCCAGCCAUUCCGCGUGCAGGAUGAAGG
RNAcentral lists this ribosomal RNA (384 nucleotides) under uncultured bacterium. Its description in RNAcentral is "bacterial SSU rRNA". It matches the Rfam family "Bacterial small subunit ribosomal RNA", at positions 29 to 414 of the family's 1533-position model. The record is from RNAcentral.